Molecule: ribosomal RNA, 513 nt
Filed under: uncultured bacterium
Lineage: Bacteria
Description: bacterial SSU rRNA
Rfam family: Bacterial small subunit ribosomal RNA
Source: RNAcentral
UAGUCCACGCCCUAAACGAUGUCGACUAGCUGUUGGGUUCAUAAAAGAACUUAGUGGCGCAGCUAACGCGUUAAGUCGACCGCCUGGGGAGUACGGCCGCAAGGCUAAAACUCAAAUGAAUUGACGGGGGCCCGCACAAGCGGUGGAGCAUGUGGUUUAAUUCGAUGCAACGCGAAGAACCUUACCAUCCCUUGACAUCCAGUGAAGUUACUAGAGAUAGUUUCGUGCCUUCGGGAGCACUGAGACAGGUGCUGCAUGGCUGUCGUCAGCUCGUGUCGGGAGAUGUUGGGUUAAGUCCCGCAACGAGCGCAACCCUUGUCCUUAGUUGCCAGCAUUAAGUUGGGCACUCUAAGGAGACUGCCGGUGACAAACCGGAGGAAGGUGGGGACGACGUCAAGUCAUCAUGGCCCUUACGGGAUGGGCUACACACGUGCUACAAUGGUAGGUACAGAGGGAAGCCAAACAGUGAUGUGGAGCGGAACCCUUAAAGCUUAUCGUAGUCCGGAUUGGAGU